UUGACUAGUUUCUAGCUUGUUCCCCUGA
Molecule: non-coding RNA, 28 nt
Filed under: Cricetulus griseus (Chinese hamster)
Lineage: Eukaryota; Metazoa; Chordata; Mammalia; Rodentia; Cricetidae
Source: RNAcentral